This 99-nucleotide non-coding RNA is filed under the name Lactobacillus selangorensis. Its description in RNAcentral is "Guanine sequence". It matches the Rfam family "Purine riboswitch aptamer". From Rfam's summary of the family: Riboswitches are metabolite binding domains within certain messenger RNAs that serve as precision sensors for their corresponding targets. The record is from Rfam by way of RNAcentral. Lineage: Bacteria; Bacillati; Bacillota; Bacilli; Lactobacillales; Lactobacillaceae.
UAAAUUCAUACAGAGGCUGCCUAUAUAAUGUCAUAAUAAGGUUGACAAGUUUCUACCCAGAGCCGUAAAUUCUGGACUAUAAGCACGAUCAAGUGGCGU